RNAcentral lists this ribosomal RNA (229 nucleotides) under uncultured bacterium. RNAcentral's name for it is "partial 16S ribosomal RNA". It matches the Rfam family "Bacterial small subunit ribosomal RNA", at positions 524 to 751 of the family's 1533-position model. The record is from RNAcentral.
UACGUAGGGUGCAAGCGUUAAUCGGAAUUACUGGGCGUAAAGCGUGCGCAGGCGGUUUUGUAAGUCUGUCGUGAAAUCCCCGGGCUCAACCUGGGAAUUGCGAUGGAGACUGCAAGGCUAGAAUCUGGCAGAGGGGGUAGAAUUCCACGUGUGAGCAGUGAAAUGCGUAGAGAUGUGGAGGAACACCGAUGGCGAAGGCAGCCCCCUGGGUCAAGAUUGACGCUCCAUG